RNAcentral lists this ribosomal RNA (253 nucleotides) under uncultured prokaryote. Its description in RNAcentral is "partial 16S ribosomal RNA". It matches the Rfam family "Bacterial small subunit ribosomal RNA", at positions 525 to 777 of the family's 1533-position model. The record is from RNAcentral.
ACAGAGGGUGCGAGCGUUAAUCGGAAUUACUGGGCGUAAAGCGCACGUAGGUGGCGACGUAAGUCGGGUGUGAAAGCCCCGGGCUCAACCUGGGAAUUGCAUUCGAGACUGCAUUGCUGGAGUACGGAAGAGGAGGGCGGAAUUCCCGGUGUAGCGGUGAAAUGCGUAGAUAUCGGAAGGAACAUCAGUGGCGAAAGCGACUUCCUGGACCAAUACUGACGCUCAUGUGCGAAAGCGUGGGGAGCAAACAGGA